AGGAAGGAGAAGUCGUAACAAGGUUUCCGUAGGUGAACCUGCGGAAGGAUCAUUGUCGAAACCUGCCCAGCAGAACGACCUGUGAACUCUUUAAAACACCGRAGGGUGCGUGCCUUGCGUGCGCUCCCCUCUCUUCUGCAUCAGGUGCGGCCUUGUGCUCGUGCUUGUUACAGAACAACCAACCCCGGGCGCAGUAUGCGCCAAGGAAAACUAACAAGAGAGCACGAUCUCAGGCCCCAUACAUGGUGUGCUUGGGACGCAGUGCAUUCUUUCACAUUAUCUAUAACGACUCUCGGCAACGGAUAUCUAGGCUCUCGCAUCGAUNNNNNNNNNNNNNNNNNNNNNNNNNNNNNNNGAAUUGCAGAAUCCCGUGAACAUCGAGUCUUUGAACGCAAGUUGCGCCCCAAGCUCUUAGGCUGAGGGCACGUCUGCCUGGGUGUCACGCAUCAUUGCCCCACCCCACCCCUAUGGGGCCAGGUGGUGUGGGCGGAGAAUGGCCUCCCGUGAACAACCACUCGCGGUUGGCCCAAAUAUGAGUACUCGGUGACCAAAGCCGCGACGAUCGGUGGUGCAAACAUGCCUCUCGAGUUCACGUCGUGUGCCWAUGUCUUCCAUCAGAGAGACUCAAGGACCCUGACGCUCUGCAAAAGCAGAGCUCGCAUCGCGACCCCAGGUCAGGCGGGAUUACCCGCUGAGUUUAAGC
Molecule: unclassified non-coding RNA, 703 nt
Filed under: Acronychia brassii
Lineage: Eukaryota; Viridiplantae; Streptophyta; Magnoliopsida; Sapindales; Rutaceae
Description: sequence contains 18S rRNA gene, ITS1, 5.8S rRNA gene, ITS2 and 28S rRNA gene
Rfam family: 5.8S ribosomal RNA (bases 288-442)
Source: RNAcentral